GACAGAGGGUGCAAACGUUGUUCGGAAUUACUGGGCGUAAAGCGCGUGCAGGCUGCCAUGCAAGUCGGGUGUGAAAGCCCUGGGCUCAACCUAGGAAGUGCACUCGAAACUGCAAGGCUAGAGUCCUGGAGAGGAAGGCGGAACUCUCGGUGUAGAGGUGAAAUUCGUAGAUAUCGAGAGGAACACCGGUGGCGAAGGCGGCCUUCUGGACAGCGACUGACGCUGAGACGCGAAAGCGCGGGGAG
Molecule: ribosomal RNA, 245 nt
Filed under: uncultured bacterium
Lineage: Bacteria
Description: partial 16S ribosomal RNA
Rfam family: Bacterial small subunit ribosomal RNA
Source: RNAcentral